Molecule: ribosomal RNA, 670 nt
Filed under: uncultured Bacteroidota bacterium
Lineage: Bacteria; Pseudomonadati; Bacteroidota
Description: SSU rRNA
Rfam family: Bacterial small subunit ribosomal RNA
Source: RNAcentral
CUAGUUGGUAAGGUAACGGCUUACCAAGGCUACGAUGUUUAGGGGAUCUGAGAGGAUGACCCCCCACACUGGUACUGAGACACGGACCAGACUCCUACGGGAGGCAGCAGUAAGGAAUAUUGGUCAAUGGGCGCAAGCCUGAACCAGCCAUGCCGCGUGCAGGAAGACGGCCCUACGGGUUGUAAACUGCUUUUAUACGGGAAUAAACCUACUUACGUGUAAGUAGCUGAAUGUACUGUAAGAAUAAGGAUCGGCUAACUCCGUGCCAGCAGCCGCGGUAAUACGGAGGAUCCAAGCGUUAUCCGGAUUUAUUGGGUUUAAAGGGUGCGUAGGCGGCCAAUUAAGUCAGGGGUGAAAGACGGUAGCUUAACUAUCGCAGUGCCUUUGAUACUGAUUGGCUUGAAUAUACUUGAGGUAGGCGGAAUGUGACAAGUAGCGGUGAAAUGCAUAGAUAUGUCACAGAACACCAAUUGCGAAGGCAGCUUACUAAAGUAUGAUUGACGCUGAGGCACGAAAGCGUGGGGAUCAAACAGGAUUAGAUACCCUGGUAGUCCACGCCCUAAACGAUGAACACUCGAUGUUGGCGAUAUACGGUCAGCGUCUAAGCGAAAGCGUUAAGUGUUCCACCUGGGGAGUACGCCCGCAAGGGUGAAACUCAAAGGAAUUGACG